RNAcentral lists this ribosomal RNA (252 nucleotides) under uncultured bacterium. RNAcentral's name for it is "partial 16S ribosomal RNA". It matches the Rfam family "Bacterial small subunit ribosomal RNA", at positions 524 to 776 of the family's 1533-position model. The record is from RNAcentral.
UACGGAGGGGGCUAGCGUUGUUCGGAAUUACUGGGCGUAAAGCGCACGUAGGCGGCUUUGUAAGUUAGAGGUGAAAGCCCGGGGCUCAACUCGGAAUUGCCUUUAAGACUGCAUCGCUAGAAUUGUGGAGAGGUAAGUGGAAUUCCGAGUGUAGAGGUGAAAUUCGUAGAUAUUCGGAAGAACACCAGUGGCGAAGGCGACUUACUGGACACAUAUUGACGCUGAGGUGCGAAAGCGUGGGGAGCAAACAGG